UGUACUUGAUUCAAAUGCGAUGUGGGGACGGAGAAGGUUAGGUUGGCAAGCUGUUGGAAUAGCUUGUUUAAGCCGGUAGGUGGAAGACUUAGGCAAAUCCGGGUUUUCUUAACACCGAGAAGUGAUGACGAGUGUCUACGGACACGAAGCAACCGAUACCACGCUUCCAGGAAAAGCCACUAAGCUUCAGUUUGAAUCGAACCG
Molecule: ribosomal RNA, 204 nt
Filed under: Neisseria gonorrhoeae
Lineage: Bacteria; Pseudomonadati; Pseudomonadota; Betaproteobacteria; Neisseriales; Neisseriaceae
Description: partial 23S ribosomal RNA
Rfam family: Bacterial large subunit ribosomal RNA
Source: RNAcentral